GUUUAGGAGUGAGCGUGUCGCGUUCGGAGGCGGCGGCAAGUCCCCCUGACCGGGGCCUGUCCGUAGCGGGUGCGAGGCCCAUAGCCGCCGCGUCCGGCGMGAAUGCGAUCUCCUGGGAGUCGGGUUGCUUGGGAGUGCAGCCCCAAUCGGGUGGUAAACUCCACCUAAGGCUAAAUACCGCCGUGAGACCGAUAGCAAACAAGUACCGUGAGGGAAAGUUGCAAAGAACUUUGAAGAGAGAGUUCAAGAGUACGUGAAACUGCUCAGAGGUAAACGGGUGGGCCCUCGAAAUCCUGUGGCGAGAGGAUUCAGUCUGUGCGGGCGGACGKGCGGGAGGAAACGYGCAGGGCUUCCGCCCAUCGCGGGCCGUCUUCCCGUCCGACCUCAGUCCGCGCAGACGCAUUUGUCUCUCGUCCCGAGGACGCUGCAGCCGGUUCGGAAGUGCAAGCGCGACGGCCUGAAGGUCGGGUAAUGGCAGGUGGCCGGUGGCUCUYCUCGUGAGGGUCGCCGGUUGUUAGCCGUCUCGGCAGUGGCUCGUCUCCGGACCGUGGUGUCGCGAGUCCCUUCGGGGACUCCUCGUCUCCACCUCGCUAGUCGCGGGACAGGACCCGGCCAGGAUCUCUUGCGUCGACCGUCGCACUUCCACGGAGUGGGCGGACGAGCACGAGCGCCGAAUCGCCGGGACGGACCCGUCGGGGACCGGAGGCUGGCAGCGAGUAGGUCGGUCACCCACCCGACCCGUCUUGAAACACGGACCAA
This 759-nucleotide ribosomal RNA is filed under the name Maratus cf. vittatus JXZ-2013. Its description in RNAcentral is "eukaryotic LSU rRNA". It matches the Rfam family "Eukaryotic large subunit ribosomal RNA", at positions 150 to 669 of the family's 3401-position model. The record is from RNAcentral. Lineage: Eukaryota; Metazoa; Arthropoda; Arachnida; Araneae; Salticidae.